CACAUCUGCACAGACGGCAUGCUAACACAUCUGCACCUGCGGUAGCAUCCAAAAGGCAGAGGAAGAUGCUAACCAUCGCACAAAAAGUUGGACUUCUGGACAUGCUAAAGGAAGCGAUGGAGCUGAACAUAAAAAGCUGACACAGCUUGGAGAUGUUGAUAAGAGGCGUGACCAGGCCUCCCAGUGUGACUGAGCAUGUGCAGGACCUGAGCGUGAAUCACAGAGGCCACACCCACAAUCCCCAGGACCAGCAAACGGGAACCCCUGCUGGGGGUAAGGCUUCUCCCGGUGUGGUGUUUAUACUGCCUCUGUGCAUCCCGGUGACCCGAUAAUAAACGUCCUCAUCCUGGAGCUGCAGAGAUCUGCUGACACGCCGCGGCGCUCUGAGAUAUCGUUCCUUAUCAGCAAACAGCAGCAGACUCGUCUUCACGGGAACGCUCUGACUGUAAGGUCGUUGGCUCAAAUACCAAGGUCAGCAGCACUUCCUUACUGCCUCAGCACGUAUUGUCGAGGUGCCCUUGAACGUCACGUGAAGUCUUCAGCGUGGCUGUAAAGGCCCCGCUGUACUGUUCCAGCGCACUGAACAAUCAUAAAACUUUAUUCUUAAGCAGAGAGCAGACAAAGGCAGGCCUGAGGAGAAUAUUAGCAGCAGCUUCAACACGCCUGCAGGAUCACACACAGUCAGUCUGAAGCUCAGCCGCAGCUCCACUCUGACCCGAGUGUGUGCGGACCAGAAACGACACAAAUAUGGCCGAUUGAAACAACUCAGAGCAGUAAUACAGACACGCCUGACGUACAGCAUGGUUUAAUGUUGAGUCGGACAGACCUGCGAAAGAAGUUUAACUGUUUAUUUAAUCUCUGAGAUAUCAGAAUAUUAGAAACAAGAGCUGCUGUCUCGUAUGUACUUUCUACUAUCGGCAGGAAAAGCUGGAAAACUACAAAAUCCAUCCCCUCUACGAAACCUGCAGUGGGCCACGGUCUGGGUUCCUUUGUGACUGUGACUGACACGCAUCCUUCAGUCUGUUAUGAGAAGGAUUACAUGUCAACGGCGCUGCUGACUUGGCUCUGUCCCUAAACAGCCGAGUGUUUCAGUGUAAGCAGCCAGCAGAAAUCUUUCCCAGCAGAACCCAAACAGAGCUGAGCCUGCGGCGGAGAUGCCAUCUAAUCAGAGCCAUGGGAAGCGGCGCUGCACCGCAGACCCAACGAUCCGCCCUCCACAAAGGCCCACUCGGAUAAAUCCAGGUCAUCACCUCCUCCUUUUCCUGCUCUCAGCACCUCCUUCCGCUUCCACAGGUCUGCUCCUGGAUGGGUAUUGAAACAAAAAUGAAGCAGAGCUCAGAGAACUUGGGAUGUGUCCACUCAGAAAAGGAACAGAAUCAUCCAUCCGCAGUGUGUGUGCAGGUGUGCAGGAGGAAAGAUCAGCCAGAGGUGUUAAGAUGCCCCAGGGGACAGAAACAGGUAAAAGGGGGAUUAGCCCAGCGGCCCGUACAUACUUUGCGCCCCCAAUGUGGCACACAUAUACUUUCUCCUGGGAUGAGGAAAAGCUGCAGGGAAAACAACAAACAGGUUCCCCAGCACAGGAAAUGAGUGCGAUGCUGUAUCUGCUGCUGUCAGAGUGAGCUGGGUGCAGGAGAGGCAGAAAGGUAAAAGCAGGUGAUGGAGAGCCAAGGUGAAGAGAGAGCAGGAAGAGGAUGAGGUGAAGUGGAAACACAGAGCGUCUAUGUAUGUGUUAGUCAUCUGACAUCUCCCAGUCGGGUAGAGCUUCACGGUGACUCACUGCAGACACGAGAAAGGAGCAGACAUGAAGAGACAGAUGAAAUAUUUAAUUUCAGCCAUAAUGGCAUGAGCUCAGAGACGAGGAGGGACCAACAGAAGCACGACUGUCACCUUAUUACAGUGAAGGAAAAGUGCAGGGCCUGAAAGGAAAGGUGACGUUACCUGGAGGUUGUGGCUUCAGGUCUUUGACCUCACCUCCUUAGGUUUCACUUUGGUUUGAACCUCAGGACGCUGCAGGUGUGUCCGAUUUAAAAUCACUGCCGCUGUGUCUCGGUGAAUUCAAAUGGGACUGUUUGGGAUGCCAAGAGACAGAUGUUUGACCGGCCACACUGCGCGAUGAUCAAGGACAACACCGAGUCAAAGACGAGGACUCUAUCUGGGAAAUACACCCCCACAGCGAGCUGGGAGAGCUAGAUGAUGGUGACGCUCCUCCACAACAAUAAGGCCCGGUGUUACCAGUUUGACCCACUCACAAUCAGAGUGGGCUGUGUGGUUUUAGAGCGUCUGAAAACAUUUCC
Oreochromis niloticus (Nile tilapia) is the source of this 2294-nucleotide long non-coding RNA. RefSeq lists it as uncharacterized. The record is from RefSeq and is a predicted model, not a curated record. NCBI's taxonomy places the organism in Eukaryota, Metazoa, Chordata, Actinopteri, Cichliformes, Cichlidae. The transcript is spliced from 6 exons.